AGCUUGUUGGUAGGGUAAUGGCCUACCAAGGCUAUGACGGGUAGCGGGUGUGAGAGCACGACCCGCCUCACUGGGACUGAGACACUGCCCAGACUCCUACGGGAGGCUGCAGUCAAGAAUCUUCCUCAAUGGCCGAAAGGCUGAAGGAGCAAUGCCGCGUGAUCGAAGAAGCCCUUCGGGGUGUAAAGAUCUUUUAUCAGGGACGAAUUCGUGACGGUACCUGAUGAAUAAGCCACUGCUAACUUCGUGCCAGCAGCAGCGGUAAUACGAAGGUGGCAAGCGUUAUCCGGAUUGAUUGGGCGUAAAGCGUCCGCAGAUGGUUUGAUACGUCGUUCGUCAAAUCCUGAAGCUCAACUUCAGGGCUGCGAACGAAACGGUCAUACUUGAGGCCGGACAAGGCAAGCGGAAUUACCGGUGUAGCGGUAAAAUGCGUUAAUAUCGGUAAGAACACCAAAAGCGAAGGCAGCUUGCUGGGACGGUUCUGACAUUAAGGGACGAAAGCGUGGGGAGCGAAUGGGAUUAGAUACCCCAGUAGUCCACGCUGUAAACGAUGGGUACUGAGCAUUGGGAGUAUCGACCCUCUCAGUGUUGUUUAAUUAAGCUAACGCCUUAAGUACCCCGCCUGGGAAGUACGGUCGCAAGACUAAAACUCAAAGGAAUUGACGGGAACCCGCACAAGCGGUGGAGCAUGUGGUUUAAUUCGACGGUAAGCGAGGAACCUUACCAAGGCUUGACAUGUCUGGAAUUCCCCAGAAACGGGGAAGUGCCCCUCACCUUUUGAACGUCCAGCUCAGCUGGAUGAUUGCAGGAGCAAUUCACGGUAACGUGGGCUGCGGUUGCAUGAUUAAAAAAGUUAAAAAAGUGAGGGGGAACCAGAACACAGGCGCUGCAUGGUUGUCGUCAGCUCGUGUCGUGAGAUGUUGGGUUAAGUCCUCUAACGAGCGCAACCCUUGUCCUAUGUUCAAUAACCGUAGGAGACUGCCUGGGUUUAACCAGGAGGAAGGUGGGGAUGACGUCAAAUCAGCAUGGCCCUUACGCCUUGGGCUACACACGUGCUACAAUGGCCGGUACAAUGGGUCGCAAAGCGGUAACGCGGAGCUAAUCCCAUCAAAACUGGCCCCAGUUCGGAUUGAGGUCUGCAAUUCGACCUCAUGAAGCCGGAAUCGCUAGUAAACGCGAAUCAGCCAUGUCGCGUUGAAUACGUUCUCGGGUUUUGUACACACCGCCCGUCACACCAAGAGAGUCGGUAGUACCCGAAAGUUGACAUUAGUCGAAAUAAGGUAAGACCGAUGAUAGGGGUGAAGUCGUAACAAGGCAUCCGUAGCGGAAGCUGUGGAUG
This 1339-nucleotide ribosomal RNA is filed under the name metagenome. RNAcentral's name for it is "bacterial SSU rRNA". It matches the Rfam family "Bacterial small subunit ribosomal RNA", at positions 243 to 1520 of the family's 1533-position model. The record is from RNAcentral.